RNAcentral lists this ribosomal RNA (253 nucleotides) under uncultured bacterium. RNAcentral describes it as "partial 16S ribosomal RNA". It matches the Rfam family "Bacterial small subunit ribosomal RNA", at positions 524 to 776 of the family's 1533-position model. The record is from RNAcentral.
UACGUAGGGUGCGAGCGUUAAUCGGAAUUACUGGGCGUAAAGCGUGCGCAGGCGGUUAUGCAAGACAGAUGUGAAAUCCCCGGGCUCAACCUGGGAACUGCAUUUGUGACUGCAUGGCUGGAGUGCGGCAGAGGGGGAUGGAAUUCCGCGUGUAGCAGUGAAAUGCGUAGAUAUGGGGAGGAACACCGGUGGCGAAGGCGGCCAUCUGGACGGAUACUGACGCUGAGACGCGAAAGCGUGGGGAGCAAACAGG